Molecule: ribosomal RNA, 819 nt
Filed under: uncultured eukaryote
Lineage: Eukaryota
Description: SSU rRNA
Rfam family: Eukaryotic small subunit ribosomal RNA
Source: RNAcentral
CGGUGUUUAACUGGCGUGAUGUGGGACGUCCUACCGGUGGGCUUAGCCUCGCGAGGGGCGGCCCAACUAAUAUCCCGUCGCGGUGCUCUUUACUGAGUGUCGAGUCGGGCCGGUACGUUUACUUUGAACAAAUUAGAGUGCUUAAAGCAGGCUAUCCUCGCCUGAAUACUGCGUGCAUGGAAUAAUGGAAUAGGACCUCGGUUCUAUUUUGUUGGUUUUCGGAACCCCGAGGUAAUGAUUAAUAGGGACAGAUGGGGGCAUUCGUAUUGCGACGUUAGAGGUGAAAUUCUUGGAUCGUCGCAAGACGGACAGAAGCGAAAGCAUUUGCCAAAAAUGUUUUCAUUAAUCAAGAACGAAAGUUAGAGGUUCGAAGGCGAUCAGAUACCGCCCUAGUUCUAACCAUAAACGAUGCCAGCUAGCGAUCCGCCGAAGUUCCUCCGAUGACUCGGCGGGCAGCUUCCGGGAAACCAAAGCUUUUGGGUUCCGGGGGAAGUAUGGUUGCAAAGCUGAAACUUAAAGGAAUUGACGGAAGGGCACCACCAGGAGUGGAGCCUGCGGCUUAAUUUGACUCAACACGGGAAACCUCACCAGGCCCAGACACCGGAAGGAUUGACAGAUUGAUAGCUCUUUCUUGAUUCGGUGGGUGGUGGUGCAUGGCCGUUCUUAGUUGGUGGAGCGAUUUGUCUGGUUAAUUCCGAUAACGAACGAGACUCUAGCCUGCUAAAUAGGCGUACCUUAUGGUAUCGCGAAGGCCCCCGGCUUCGGCCGGUGGGUUUUUACUACCAACGUACAAACAAAUUUUCUUAGAGGGACAGGCGG